CAGCCAUGGGACAACACACGCACUCUGCUGUCUCCCUCCCCCUCUCUCUCUCUCUGCUUUCUUUUCCCCACCUCCAGAUCGACCACCAUGGCUGCUCCAGAUCGACAACCAUGGCUGCUGGGCUCUCUAAGGAUUUCUACCCAAAACAAAUCUAUGUGGUUUCUAACUGCUAUGCACUAGUUUUCCCCUUUGAUUUCCCCUGAUUUUCCUCCUUCUCUGGUGUGUGCAGGUCGGCGGUGACGUGCUUCACCGAUGUGCCAGGCUCGGCAACCAUGGCGCCCAGGCAGAGCCAAGUAGCCCGUGGUGGUUGUGUAGGGAUUCAGGAUCCGACACUAUUUUCCCCCAACCUGAUAGUGAGUUCAUCUCCCUCACAUCUCUCUGUUCUCUGUUUUUUUUUUGGAAACCUAAUCUGUAGCUGAAAGAUGAGUUCUAGUAUAGUUCUUGUGUUAAAUCUUUAUCCCACGUUUAAGUAUUAAGUGAAUACUUGUGCUAAAACAAAUAAUGCUAGACCUUGUUAUAGCAACAGCUAGUCCAUCAUUCUUCUAGCAACUUAAGUAUUUUAUCUAGUAUUUCUGUGGUGUGCAAAACUAGUGCAACCAAAACAUUUAUCCCUUUUGUGCAUGUGCUCUGUGUUAUCUGUAGAGAGAAAAAAAAAAGAGAAAAGUUCUCUAGAAGAAUGUGCAGUGCAGGUGAAACCUCACCUUAAUCUUUGAGAUUUUAGCUUCAGGCUUAGGCUUGUGCUUCCCCACAAGCACUCCUUCUGUUUGCAGGAUCUUGGCUAACACUACUACUUCUUUUUUUACUUGGUUGAUCCUCACCUGGCCACUUGUCUUGACUUCCUUUUCUCUCAACCCCUGUUGCUCUCCAUGGGUGCUCAAGUCACCAUUUUGCUGAUGUGGAAGGCUGGUGAUUUUUCUCAGUCAAGGAUUGGGCUAGGUGUUCUUGGUAGGCUGCAACUUUGAGUGAAGACUGAAGAACUAGGUUGCUACUACGAUGGGGAAUGCUCCUCUCACUUUCGCUCCUGGUUCUUGUACUAGUACUCAUUUCCAACCUCUCGAAGAUAUUUACCCUCACAUCUCCCGGCUUGGUCAAGGUCUGUGCAGUGGUGUCCUCCAGCUACUGCCAUUUGAUUGGUUGAAUGCCUUCUAGAAGGGCAUGGCAGCUCACCAUUGUAUAAACUAGUACAAGAGUGGGUGAAAUAGUUGUCACAGUGGUGUGUACCAGAAAAUGUAAAGAAUGGUGUGAGUGUGUGUGUGGUAACCUGAGAGGCUAGUUGGCAUAACCAUGUAAAGAAAAUUUCAAGGAUUAAUAUAAGAUCUGUGCAUUUUGGUGUCAAAGUGUAACACCCAAAAACUAGAUUUCAAAUAAUAGAAAUUAAUUUGAUUUAUUUAAGUAUUUUGUGAACAUUUAAUUUAGUUUUUAAAUAAUUUUUGUGGAAAAUAAAAACUAUCCUAAGGUUAGGAACAUGUUGUGCAUUCAUGCUGGGGCAUAUUUUAUAUUAUGCUUGUUGCUUUUAGUUUGAAAUUAGUUGCAUUCAAACUUCCAUUUAGAAAAAGGUUUUGGAAAGAAAAGAAAAGAAUACAAAAGGGAAAGGCAGACCACCCCCAGCUCGGCCCAACUCCCCCCCCCCCGCCCCGCAGCCCAGCUCCCCUCUCCCUCUUCUCUAUUCCCCCUCGCUCGGCCCUCUCCUCUCUUUGCUUUCGGCCCGCAGAGCGGCCCAGCACCGCCAGCAGACGCGCGCCCUCCUCUUUCUCCCUCCUAGUCGCUGAAAGUCUGGCCCCGCAUGGCAGUGGCCGUCUUCUUCCCUUUCCUUUCUUCCCCAUCGCGCAGAGGCGAUUUCGCGCAGUCGGCUCCGAUUCUCUCGGGAUCUUCCCUUCCUUGUGCGCCCAACCAACCCAUAUAGAGGUCCCAAAACUGGCCAGAGUCCUUUUCCCAUCUAUGGGUGUGGCUACGCCCUAGCCCUAGCCGUUCCCCGCGACAAAUUCCACCGAAUCGCCGAAUUUCACCCGCCGCCAUCGCCAUUGCUGAACCUCGCCGCCGUGCUGUCGAUUCCGAGCUGCCGACGAGCUUCGUGCGUGGGUAACGAAGCUUCGGAGACCCUUUUCUUCUUUUUUCCCCGGCUCUGAUUGCUCGCUAACCCGGCUAUGGCGUGUAGAGCCUCAGCGAUCCGCCAAACCGCGUGGCUGCUCUCCUCCAAGCUCUCCCCGACCAAAAACAAAGCCUUGGGUGAGUUCGCCUGGAGCCCCACACCAUUCCCGUGCUCUCGGUUUUCCAAGCGAUGCACCAGAGCGUUGUCGCGGCCAACUCCGGUGAGCCCCAACAAUGGCGCCACCGCCUAGCUCCUGUUCCGGCGAACCGGCCGGCCAAAAGCCCCUGGGGUCAUUCUGGUCCGUCCGAUCGUGAUUCGAUGGCCCAAAAUAGAAGUUACCCUUUCGGAUUAAUAUUUGCUAAAGAGCCCCUCCCCUUUUUGAUAAUAAAAACCCGCCAUCCAUAGCGCCUUCCUGGUUUUUACGCUUUCCAAAUUUAGAAAACGUAUUCUCUGCCAGAUAAUUAAAAGUUUGCCACUGGACUUAAAUUGCUCAUAAAAUAUUCGUUUUAACUCCGUUUUCGUCCAUUCAAAUUUCGUUAGAUCCGUAUUCACGAGUUCUACAUGUUAGAAGUAUUAGUUUACUGUUUUGAAACUUUUUAAUUCUGUAGUAGCAUAUAAUUAAUUAUUUCUCUAUAGGAAAUCUUAGAAAAUUCAUAACUUCAACGUUUUAAUUUUGAUUUUCGUGAACUUUACGUCUGUGUGAUCGUAGCACUGCAUAGAUUCUUUUUACAAACUUUUAUCUCUGAUUUCUCAUUGUUGGUGUAAUGUUCUAAUUAUAGCUUGUUUGCUUUGUGUAUGAUUGUCUACAUUGGAUUGCGUGUUGUUGAUUGAUGUUUGGGAAUAGACGGUGAGCCAUACGUUGGUGAUCAAGACCAAGCCUUUGAAGACCAGCAGGCUUAGGAGACCUUUGAUCAAGGCAAGUAUAACUUGGGAUCAUCCUUGUUACCUACUCACUUAUAAACACACAUAUAUAUCAUAUGCAUGCUUUCACCUUGUCGACCUUAGCAAAAUCAUAGAUGAUUGUUACCUAGAUUCCUUGCUACCUACUUGAUAUGCAUUCGGUGUAGAUGUGCUAGUGCUUGAUAUAAUCCAUGAUCUUGUAAGAUAAUAGUUGUGCAAUGAACAUAAAAGGAUGACAAAUAACUAUAUGAGAUCUUGUCUGUACGUGAUCACCCGGGAUAACAGUGCAACCAUGAGGGCUAUAAUGGCUCUGGCUUUAGCUUAGUAUGAGGACCUUUUUCUAGCUUGUUAGCGGUUACCUUAAAUGGCGUAAGAAUGGCUAGACACGUUGGGUAUAGUGUGGCCUCUGUCCGUGUGUAUAGGCUGUAGGUUAUGUGCCAUGGAAGUGGGGCUCUAUAUCUGCCUGCCGAGUGAAUCUAAUGGCCCUAACUUGUUAGACGAAACCUUUGAAAGGCUUCAUAGUGAUCCCUGCCGACCUUCCUUGGUAGUGGGUGAGGAGGUCGACGGGCCUCGGGCGAAAGGGUAAAUCAUGACUCUUGGGUAAAGAUGUACAACCUCUGUAGAGUGUUAAAACUAGUAUACUAGCCGAGCACGCGGUCAGAAGCGGUCUUGGGGACAUCUACAUUAAGAUGAUGAACUUGUUACUGUUGACACCAUUUUUGGGCACGUGUCUAGGAUCGGUAGAAUAUAAAUCGGCAGGACAGGGCAAAGGUAGCUGGUCUGCAGGAAAGCUGCCGAUGAAGGUGGUUGCUGAUGAGGAGACGGCUGGAUGUGGCUAAGUCCAUGGGUGGUGAUGUAUCUAUGCCGAUGGCCAGCAUUAACUUCUGCUGUUGGUGGCGGUGGAGAAUCUGCCGAUGACGCGGGAGGAAGACUUGAAGAUUGCCGAUUGGUCUAUGGUGGCGUCCCAGGCUGUCGCGGGAAGAUAGUUUUAUGUUUUUUCUUUAGUCAUUUAAAAUCGUUUUGUAUACGGAUUCUAUUUAAUUUGGAAUUCGAGUUCUAGUCGUGUCUGGUUGUAGCUCUUUUGGGCAGGGUAUAAAUGUAGACCCUCGGGCCUUGUAAUCAAGACAUCGAUCAAUCAAUCAAACACAAGUUUCUACUCAUAUUACAGCAUCUACUUUUUCGACGACUUCGUCAUACCUUUUCCUUUUUAUUACGAGUUCUUAAGAAUUCGUCGACUUAAGCUCGGUGUGUUCUCAAGUUCCGCGUGAAUACCUCUUGGCCGUGGCAUCUGGGAGCAUCACUGUUGUCGGGACCAAAGUAUUCGAGUCAUCACCUUUGCCGAUAGUAAGGUCAAAUCGGCUGCCACGCCUUAACGUUUAAAUUGGGUAUUAGCCCUUUGUGUUUGCAGAUCAGCUUUUGCAUCAACACAUCUUUUGGCACGCCCGGUGGGACAGAUUCAAGAUCAAGAUCAACAUGUUGACUACUGAGUUUUACUUGGAGAACGUCAUCCCCGUGACAGAAGCUAGCCUCAAAGAUGAGCAGAAGCAAGCUAUUGCGAAGGCUAUGGAGGAUUACAAGCAACAAUGUCUCAAGGCCUUCAGCAUAAACAGGAGCGGCGAAGUGAUCCAGAAAGAAGCACUGCCGAUGCCUCAGUAGGUUACUUUUGAAGCCAAUCCUGGUAAACUCCAAGACAUGGUCGAUAGAGCAAUCAACCGUGCCUUGAUCAACCAAGCUGGUGUGCUGUCCAAUACGGUUUUCAAUGCCGUGGCUAGAACUUUCAAGGAAGGAUAGUUGCCGCCAAACUAUGUGGGCCCUUCUCAUCAUCAGCCAAUAUCACCAGUGGUCACAGCUCCAUCGGCUGCUACAGCCGCUGCGGGCGCAGAAACUGCUGUUCCUCCAAGUACGUUAGGAGUCACUAAUGCACAAUCUACGCCGAUGACAACCAAUCCAUCGACAUUAGAUGAGUCGAUCAAGCUUACUACAGAUCUGUUGGCAUCGGCAAUGUUAGGACAGGUUCCUCCUCCUAACUGGUGGGGUUUUGGUAUGCCCCCAGAGUUCACGUUGAAGACACCUGGUACAACCCAGGCGGCUGAUAUGAGAGGCAAGGUUCCUAUGGCAUCGGCACCUCCAAAUAUGCCGAUGAAUCAGAGUCCCCAGUAUACUACAACCACUACUACCAGGCCUUACACUGGGAAUUCUCAAGCUCCGACGUUCCAGAUGCCUAACGCAUCGGCAGAAUCAAUGCGGAUGCAACAGAGGUUUAUGACUCAGCCAGGGUAUGUCAACUCGAUGAUGAUACCCAAUUACCAGUCAUCGGCAGGGCCUAUGCCGAUGAACGCUAAUAGUGGAGGGCUUGGGCAGCAAGUCUUUUCGCAAAUGCACCAACAAAAUCAUCAGGUUAUCGGGUUUCAACAAGGCCAGAUCUAUCCUGGGUUCCAGAACCAAGGAUUGCCCAACCAGCCGAUGAAUCUUGGACAACAGAUCAGUGGAUAGCAGAUCAGUGGACAGCAGAUCGGCGGACAACAGUUUGGUGGUCAACAGAUGGGUGGCCAAUUGAUCAACCCAAUGUUCCAUGUAGAUCGUGCGCCGCACAGACACGUGGAAGCUUACCAGCAGGUGCCGGAUCCGCAACCGCCUCAUCGGCAAGAUGCCGAUGCCUAUUGGGCCGAUAAGAUUGCCGAAGUGAUGAGAGAUCAAUUUGGGAUAAAACCCAAAGUCAACACUUACUCUUAUCAGACAUCGUAUCCUCCCGCAUAUGAUUUGAUCCCGCUUCCAAAUCGGUACAAAGUAUCGGAUUUUACCAAGUUUUCUGGGCAGGAUGACACGUCAACCAUGGAGCAUGUCAACAGGUUCAUCAUCUAGUGUGGAGAAGCUGCUAACAGGGACGAGUUAAGGGUUCGCUUAUUCUCGUCAUCAUUAUCUGGAUCGGCUUUUACUUGGUUUAUAUCAUUACCUCCCAACUCAGUGGUUACUUGGGCCGAUCUAGAGAAGCAAUUCCACAAAUACUUCUUUUCUGGUGUCCAUGAGAAGAAGAUUACAGAUUUGGUCAAACUAAGGCAGCGCAAUGAUGAAUCGGUUGAAUGUUUUGUGUAGAGGAUACGGGAGGUGAAGAACAAAUGCUAUAGCCUGGUUCUAGAUGAUCGGCAGCUAGCCGAUUUGGCCUUCCAGGGUUUAUUGCCGCACAUAAGGGACAAGUAUGCAUCUCAGGAAUUUGAAAGCUUAAGUCAUUUGGUGCAGAGAAUUUCUGAUCAAGAUAUCAAGCCUUUCGAGCCCAAGAGAGCAUGGAAUAAAAAAGGUGUCAUUUGUGGAUGAAGCGGCAAGCUCGGACUCUGAUGAAGAACCAAUCAUCGGCUUGGCAGAAUAGGUGAAAAAUAAGAAGCUGAUGUCUUGCCCUUUUGGACAUAAAGAGCCAGAGAAGUUCACGUUUGACAUCACUAAGGCCGAUAGGAUAUUUGACUUUCUACUUCAAGACGGUCAAAUCAAAUUGUCACCCAAUCAUGUGAUCCCAUCGCCUGAGGAGUUGAAGAGGAUGAAAUAUUGUAAGUGGCACAACGCAACUUCUCACGACACUAAUGAGUGUAAAGUUUUUAGACAGCAGCUGCAAUCGGCUAUAGAAUCUGGGAGGAUCAAAUUUGACAGCUCCAAAACUCAGAAGCCGAUGAAGAUUGAUCAGCACCCUUUCCCAACAAACAUGCUGGAUGCUAAGGGAAAGGCCAAGGUCUUAACAUCGGAAUCGGCUAAAAGAAGUGCGUCGGUGGAUCCUCAGCAUCAGAUCACUACUGCCGAUGCCAAGGGAAAAGGCUUAAUCCAGGAAGGAGCCAACUCAGGAAGGCCUCCCCGAUCUGGUAUUGUGAUAACUCACAGAAGGCCUCGGGAGACUUGGCAGCAACGAGAGGACCGGUAUCGGCGCCGACAAGAAGAAUACCAUCGGGAAGAGGAAAGACGCCGACAGGAGUGGAAUCGGCACAGAGAUCAUUGGAAUUGUCUGUUCUUCAUCCAUUGCUGGGAAGAGAAUAUCAAGCUUCCUACUGUCAGUGAUUGCCCUGAGUGCAACGGCUAUGAUCGGUAUGACAGAUCCGAUCGGCGCCAUCACUAUGAUGAUCGGCGAUUUAAUGGGCCGAUUAGGGGAAUGGCGUCCGUUCAUGAUCGACUGGGGGGCAAGCUCAGUGUGCACGACAGGCUUGGCGAUCGUGUUCAAUAUUUUCCCAGGAACCAGGAAGAGCUUGAGGAGAUGGCUAAUCCACAGGUUCCCGAUGAAUUCAUUUUCUGCAGAGACGCCAAUACUUAUCGGAUGGAGUCAAGGGAGAGUCGUCGCUCAUCAGUGAGGCAGCAGAAACUACCUCCGUGGUGUCCAAAGGGGUUCACUAGGACACAGAAGAGAAGACUGCAGCGCGAGAGGCGAGAAGAAUUAAGCAAGGGCGAGAACUCUGGCCAAUCUGGGGAUCAGCAGUCAGAUCCUAAGGGGAAAGGACCAUCGGCAGAAGUCAACAUGGUAUUUAUGUUGCCGAUGGAGUUCCUAGCGUCGUAUAGCGAUGAUGAGUUGGAGUUUUCCGACCAAAUAGCUCAGCUGGCUCUGGACCCAAUGACCGCCAUCUUUGAAAAGCCUGCCGACAAUGAAAGGCAACAUCUUAAAUCUCUAUUUGUCAAAGGAAGAGUGGAUGGUCAGCCAAUGACCAAAAUUUUGAUUGAUGGUGGAGCUGCUAUCAAUAUCAUGCCAUAUGCAGUGUAUCGGAAGCUUGGGAAGGGAGAUCACGAUUUGACCAAGACCGAUAUGAUGCUCAAGGACUUUGAAGGCAACGUGUCUCUGGUUAAGGGAGCCAUAUGCGUUGAGUUGACCAUCGGCAGUAAAACCUUGCCGACAACCUUCUUCGUGAUCAGUGGAAAGGGUGCUUAUAACUUACUGUUGGGGUGAGAUUGGAUUCAUGCCAAUUGUUGCAUCCCGUCUACAAUGCACCAGUGCUUGGUUCAGUGGGUAGGUGACAAGAUUGAAAUUGUUUCGGGCGAUUCUUCCUAUGUUAUUGCAUCGGCAGAGGUAGACACCUAUGAAAGAACUAGGUGUAUUUCAGGAGAAGUCUAGGAAAGAGAUUUUCUCAAGGUUGCCGAUUACAAAAUUCCACCGAUCCAAGCAGUCGGUUCUGAUGAAGGUUUUUAAUGGAUAGGUUCGCCGAUGAUGGAAAAUUAGGCCAGGGGUUCACAUCGGCCGAUGAUUUGGUAGAAGUAGAUAUAGAUAGUGGUGAUAAACCUAGACCUACUUUUAUUAGUGCUAAGCUAGAUUCUGAGUGUAAGCAGUAGUUAACCGACUUGUUAAAAGAAUAUAAAGAUUGCUUUGCUUGGGAUUAUACUGAGAUGCCUGGUUUAGACCGAUCAAUUGUUGAACAUCGGUUGCCUAUCAAGUCUGGAUUUCGGCCACAUCAACAGCCGGCUCGCCGAUGUAAUCCUAAUAUUCUUCCUGAUAUUAAGGCCGAAAUAACCAAACUUAUUGAAGCUAAAUUUAUUCGGCAAUGUCGGUAUGCCGAAUGGAUUUCCAAUGUUGUUCCAGUCUACAAGAAGAAUGGGAAGCUUCGGGUUUGCAUUGAUUUCAGGAAUCUCAAUAAAGCUAUACCGAUGGAUGGCUAUCCAAUGCCGGUUGCCGAUCUACUUGUUGAUGCUUGUCGAGGGUAUCAACAAGGGGUACCCUCACCAAUGCGUAUAACGAGACCAUCCGUACACACGCGCGGCCAUCGACGGCCGCAGCCUCGAAGACGGAAAUAGCGUCGAGCGAAUCGGUCAGGGCUCGAGCGACAACUGCCGUCGAAUACGGAAGCGGGCUCGAGCGAACCGAGAGGCGUCGAGCGCAAGGACACUGUCCGCCGCCUGACGCGCGCACGAGAGCCAGGGCAUUUAAUGCACCUGACGCUUCCCCACCUAACACACGGGUCACGGGAGGCGUGAUAGGGAACAGGCUUCUGUCCCAUCGUUCUUUUUGCAGCCUUCCCACCGAACGACCCAGGGCGUGUCAGGACGCGGGAAACAAGGAUGGAACGUCUAAUCGGGACCCCCUCGAGACACCCAAGGUCAGCGCUCCAGAUAUCGACACCUCGUACGGCGUCCGACCCUCGACUUCACCAGGCUCCUUCCUAGAGACGAGUCGGGCGUCGACUGACCACGUCGUAACCGCUCCGCCGGAUUUGCCGCCGAGCCCUAUAAGCGUGCAUCCGCCGAACCAAUCCAAGACGGCGCGCAGAGCAGAAUGCAGGGGCACGCGCGAUCAUCACCUGGCUAUUAAGACGGGACGGCUCGAGGUCAUGCCGGUACGGAAACUUCGAGUAGGUCAGCGCUCCAUGCUGCUAUCGACUCCAAUUCCUACACCUAUACAUGUACCCUAGGUCCUUCCUUGGAACUAUAAAAGGAGGGACUCAGGAAUAGAACAGAGGGAUCACGACACAAGACCACGCUCAUACGUAGUAGAGCUCCACACUUCAUACCACGCUUGUAUUCGCCCCUGUACAAGCACUUAGGUGCAAGAUAAUACAAACUCUCUCCCCCCGCUGGACGUAGGGCCUUCUCUUGCCCGAACCAGGAUAAAUCUCUGUGUCUUCUUGCAUCACCAUCCGGGAAAGGGAGCACGCAUACAAAUUUACUCGUUGGUGUGACCCCCCGGGGGAAAACACCGACAGUUGGCGCGCCAGGUAGGGGUCCUGCGUGUUUUUCAUCGAUUUCCCACUCCUUUCCGGAUGGCUACUCUUGCCUCGCCAUUUCCGCGCUCCACGGUGAUUUGGUUUGGGAGUCUCGAGUUCAUGUCUACGGGCUCCGGCUACGACAUGAUCUUGCUCUCAGUCAAAGGACCAGGAGGAGCCCGCGUUACGCCAGCACGGUUGAAGGCCCCGAGACGCCCUCACCACCACGCCUCCCCGCCUAAGAAGAGGCGCGGACAGCACCACCGCGGCCCCUCUGCUUCAGCACGACCAACAACUCGUGCGAGGCAGGACGUAGGCCACAAGUCGGCAGCACCGUGUGACGGAGCAACAAGCGCGACGACUCAGCACCGCGCGACGAUGGGAGGGGACGCGUCUCGCGCGCUCUCCCCCACCGCAGCUAGGCUACUUCCACACGGGUUGUUCUCUCCAAGAGCGGCACUGCCGUUCGGAUUGGACAACGCCGCGGCGUCGCUCGCCAGGGCAAUAUGCCCAAACGCCCAGACGUACAUAGAAAGACCAAUGGUCCUCCCACGUAGCUCUGAAGCGCGGCGGCCGGCGUCCGAGCUGCCGGACCUUUCCCGAGUACAAGGCCUCCGUCGUCUAGGCCCCGGACGAUACUCGAUCACCUCCCUCAGGCAACGAUUGCUGGAGGAAGGACGUGGGUGUUUCUACGCCGCCGAACCGGACUCCGACUCCGAGACAGAUAGCUAUGACCCUACGAGGGAAUGCUAUCACAUCGACGGGGCGGUAGAAACUACUGACGAGACACGGGAUGCUGCUGCGGGUGGUCGAGCCCCCGUGGCGCGAGAAGACCCCAGGACGCCUGGGAACGACGGACAGGUCGACCCCCCUCCUCAGGAAGACAGAACCGCGCAGCUCGCGCAGCUGCGGGAGCUCAAGAUGAAGCUCGACGAAGACCGCGAGCGCCUCGUCCUGCUCGAGCAAAUCCUCGAGCAAGACCUGCCCUACCCGCCGGGCGGAAGUGUCCGCAGACGCGCUCGAGAGGUACAUCGACAGAUCGUCGGCGACGCAGAGCCAGAGCAACCUGUCAGCCGUUUCCCUCGAGCAGGCCAGAAUGUAGUGGCAGCGACGAUGCUGCUACGUAACAUGCCAGAGCAGUCGAAUUCCCAGGCCCGACGCAUUCGAGAUGAGGUACAGACAUUGCUCCAGGUGGCGGCGGUUCAACAAGCCAAAAGUUCGGCGUCUCGACGACGAGGAGCUGCCACAGAGAAGCGCGACGAACAGCCUCUAAACGAAGAGGAGGUGUCAGUCCAUCAACAACCUCCCCCUCGAGGUAGAAAGACCGCUCUCAUCCUCCCCGUCGACAAUCAACGUCGACACGACGCGCGGCACGACAUCAAAGAAAAUCGACGCCGCCGGCAUGGAGACGCGGAAGAGCGCGGUUAUAGCGCGCAUCGCGGUGGGAGAUACGACAGCGACGAGGACCGGGUGGCCCCCGAGCCACCAGGCCCACGGGUGUUCAGCAGGGCGAUCCGCAGCACGCCCCUGCCCAAUCCAUUUCGACCCCGACCAGCAUCGCGAAGUACAAUGGAGAGACCAAACCAGAGUUGUGGCUGGCCGACUUCAGGCUGGCCUGUCAGCUAGGUGGCGCUCGAGGUGAUGAUCGAGCCAUCAUCAGACAGCUACCCCUUUUCCUCUCCGACACCGCCCGUCGAUGGCUCGAGGAACUCCCUGCCAAUCAGAUCCACAACUGGGUUGAUCUGGUCAGAGUCUUCGAGGGUAACUUCAAAGGGACCUACAUACGGCCAGGGAACUCGUGGGACCUCAGCAAGUGCAAGCAGAAGUCGGGAGAAACUAUUCGGGAGUAUGCUCGACGCUUCUCGAAGCAGCGCACUGAGCUGCCGCACAUCCCUGACCACGACGUCAUCUUGGCGUUUGUCUCGGGCACCACCAGUCGAGACUUGGUGUGGGAAUUAGGUCGCAAUCGACCUCAGACCGUCGACGAGCUGAUGGACGUAGUAGCCAACUACGUGGCAGGGGAGGAGGCAGUCGGCGCCUUCUUCAGCUCAGAAGGAAGAAAAGGCAAGCAGCCCGUCGACGAAGAUGGGACCCCCAGUCGAGGCCUCAAGAAAACUAAAAAGAAGCAGAAAGUGCGGCAGUUCCACCGGGAAGAUUCCGAUGACGACCUUGUCGCCGCCAUGGAUCGAAAGAAGCCUCGAGGCCCUCCGGAUGGAGGCAUCUUUGACAAGAUGUUGGAGGAGCCGUGCCCUUACCAUAAGGGAGGCGCCAACCACAAGCUCAAGGACUGUCGUAUGCUGAGAAAGCAUUUCGACGGUCUGGGGUUCAAAAAAGAUACGCGUGAUGACUCCAAGAAAGAGAAGGCUGGCAGCAAGGAGGACAACAAAGAUGACGACGGCUUCCCCGCCGUCCACGACUGCUACAUGAUCUAUGGCGGGCCCUCGACUCAAUUAACCAUGAGGCAGCGCAAAAGGGAGCGUCGCGAAGUCUUUGCGGCAAGAAUGGCGGUGCCCCAGUACCUUAGCUGGUCAAGCACUCCUAUCACUUUCGACCGAGAGGACCACCCCGACAAGGUAGUCGCCCUAGGCGUCUACCCGCUCGUCGUCGACCCCAUCAUCGUCAACACCCGACUCUCGAAAGUGCUGAUGGAUGGUGGCAGCAGCCUCAACAUCAUCUACCUCGAGACCCUCGACCUCCUCGGCAUCGAUAGAGGACGCCUCCAGCCAAGCGCCGGCGGUUUCCAUGGCGUCGUGCCAGGGAAAAAGGCACUGCCAGUAGGUCGAAUUGACCUACCGGUCUGCUUCGGCACAGCGGCCAACUUCAGGAAGGAGACCCUCACCUUUGAGGUGGUUGGGUUCCGAGGCACGUACCACGCCAUCAUCGGGCGCCCGGGCAACGCCAAGUUCAUGGCUAUACCCAACUACACCUACUUGAAGCUGAAGAUGCCUGGUCCCAAAGGCGUCAUCACUGUCAGUUCCUCCUUCGAGCACGCAUACGAGUGCGACGUCGAGUGCGUCGAGUACGGGGAGGCGGUCGAGAGCUCCACCGAGCUCGUUGCAAAGCUCGAGGCCAUGGCCGCUGAGGCUCCAGAGCCUAAGCGUCAUGCGGGCAGCUUCGAGGCGGCGGAAGGAACCAAGAAGAUCCCGCUCGACCCCAACAACUCCGACGGCAAAGUGCUGACGAUCAGCGCCGACCUCGACCCCAAAUAGGAAGCCGUGCUCGUCGACUUUCUCCGUGCAAAUGCUGAUAUGUUUGCAUGGAGUCCCUCGGAUAUGCCAGGCAUACCGAGGGAAGUCGCCGAGCACUCCUUGGAGAUUCGAGCCGGUUCCAAGCCAGUGAAGCAGCGGUUGCGCCGAUUCGAUGAGGAGAAGCGCAAGAUCAUUGGCGAGGAAGUCCACAAGCUUUUGACGGCCGGAUUCGUCAAGGAGGUUCAUCAUCCUGACUGGUUAGCAAACCCUGUAUUAGUUAAGAAAAAGAAUGGGAAAAUGAGGAUGUGUGUCGAUUAUACUAGUCUGAAUAAAGCAUGUCCAAAAGUUCCCUUUCCAUUGCCACGCAUUGAUCAGAUUGUCGAUUCUACCGCGGGAUGUGAAACCCUUUCUUUCCUUGAUGCAUAUUCUGGUUACCACCAAAUAAAAAUGAAGGAGUCCGACCAGCUCACGACCUCUUUCAUCACGCCUUUUGGGAUGUAUUGCUACGUGACCAUGCCAUUUGGGCUUCGAAACGCGGGAGCCGCGUAUCAACGUUGCAUGCUCCACGUAUUUGGCGAACAUAUAGGGUCAACGGUCGAGGCCUACGUCGACAACAUUGUCGUCAAGUCAAAGCGACGAGGAGACCUGAUCCAGGACCUCGAGAUUGCCUUUAGCUGCCUACGCACCAGCCGGAUCAAGCUCAAUCCCGAGAAGUGCGUUUUCGGUGUGCCUCAAGGCAUGCUCCUAGGAUACAUCGUUUCGCAGCGCGGCAUCGAGGCCAACCCCGAGAAAGUCUCGGCCAUCACGAAAAUGGGGCCGAUCCGAGACAUCAAGGGUGUACAGAGAGUCACGGGGUGCCUGGCGGCUCUGAGCCGUUUCAUCUCGAGACUAGGAGAAAAGACAUUACCAUUAUAUCGACUCCUAAAGAAGGUCGAGCGCUUUUCUUGGACCCCCAAGGCCGAGGAAGCACUCGAAAGGCUGAAGAAGACGCUGACCUCGGCACCAGUCUUGGUUCCACCUCAACCUGCAGAGCCGCUGCUCCUCUACGUCGCGUCGACGACCCAGGUCGUCAGCGCGGCGGUGGUGGUCGAGAGGCAGGAGGAGGGACAUGCGUUACCGAUUCAGAGGCCAGUAUAUUUCGUCAGCGAGGUGCUUUCGGAGACCAAAGCACGUUAUCCCCAAAUCCAGAAGCUGAUUUAUGCCGUAAUCCUUGCCUGUCGCAAGCUGCAGCAUUACUUCCUUGGCCACCCCAUCACGGUGGUCUCGUCUUUUCCUUUAGGCGAAAUAAUCCAGAGCAAAGAAGCCACGGGAAGAAUAGCAAAAUGGUCGGUCGAGCUCAUGAGUGAGACUCUCACUUAUGCGCCUCGCAAGGCCAUCAAAUCGCAGGCCCUGGUAGACUUCAUCGCAGAAUGGACGGACACCCAGCUCCCCCCGACCCAGGUCCAGGCGGAACUAUGGACGAUGUAUUUCGAUGGGUCACUCAUGAAAACUGGAGCCGGAGCCGGCCUGCUGUUCAUCUCACCCUUGGGCGUCCACAUGAGGUAUGUAAUCAGGAUUCAUUUUGCCGCAUCUAACAAUGUCGCAGAAUAUGAGGCCCUCGUCAACGGUCUCAAGAUCGCUAUCGAGUUAGGAGUCCGACGCCUCGACGUCCGAGGUGACUCCCAACUCGUCAUCGACCAAGUAAUGAAAACCUCGAGCUGCCACGACCCAAAAAUGGAAGCGUACUGCAAGGAGGUCCGUCGACUCGAGGACAGGUUCCACGGUCUCGAGCUUGUCCACAUCGCUCGACGCUACAACGAGGCAGCCGACGAACUCGCCAAGAUCGCAUCGACCAGAGGCACGGUGCCGCCUGAUGCAUUCUCAAAAGAUCUUCACGAGCCAUCCGUCGACCUAGGCACGGGGGCUGGCUUCGACGCCACCACCGCCCAACCAACCAAUGCUGUCGAUACGCUCUUGAUGGUGGAAGAGAUGAUGGAGAUAGAACGACGACCAGGUCGACCAUUCGAUUGGCGCACACCGUUCCUCGACUGCCUUAUCCGUGGCGAGUUGCCAGAAGACAGGUCAGAAGCUCGUCGUAUCGCUCGACGGGCCAAAUCAUAUGUGAUCUAUGGCGAAGACAACGAGCUAUAUCGACGGAGCCCGACGGGGGUCUUACAACGUUGCGUCACCGUGGAAGAAGGCCGAAAACUCCUCGAUGACCUGCACUCGGGGGCUUGCGGUCACCACGCCGCUCCACGGACCCUUGUAGGGAACGCUUUUCGACAAGGCUUCUACUGGCCAACGGCCGUGGCGGACGCCAUCGAGCUCGUACGAUCAUGUCACGGGUGUCAGUUCUACGCCAAGCAGACGCAUCUGCCUGCCCACGCUCUUCAGAUGAUCCCCAUUACCUGGCCGUUUGCGGUGUGGGGGCUCGAUUUAGUAGGACCUCUACAAAAGGCGAAAGGAGGAUUCACCCAUUUGCUGGUGGCCAUUGACAAGUUCUCCAAAUGGAUCGAGGCUCGACCCAUCACCAACAUCCGCUCCGAGCAGGCCGUCCUUUUCUUCACCGACAUCAUCCAUCGGUUUGGGAUCCCCAAUGUCAUCAUCACCGACAACGGCGCCCAGUUCACCGGCAAAAAGUUCUUGGACUUCUGCGAUCGGUAUCACAUCCGUGUGAACUGGUCUGCAGUAGCCCAUCCUCGAACUAACGGCCAAGUCGAGCGUGCCAACGGCAUGAUUUUGCAAGGACUCAAGCCAAGGAUCUACAAUCGAUUGAAGAAAUUCGGCAAAAAAGGGGUCGAGGAGCUUUCCUCAGUCCUAUGGAGCCUUAGGACAACACCAAGCAGGGCCACAAAAUACACCCCGUUCUUCAUGAUCUACGGCUCUGAGGCUAUCCUCCCCACAGACCUCGAGUAUGGGUCACCUCGACUCAAGGCCUACAACGAGCAAUCGAACAAAGAGACUCAAGAAAACGCGGUCGACCAACUUGAGGAGGCUAGAGACAUGGCCCUCCUCAACUCUGCCAGAUAUCAGCAAAGGCUUCGACGCUACCACGACAAGCAUGUGCGCAAGAGGGACCUCAACGUGGGCGACCUAGUCCUACGACGCCGGCAAAGCAAUCAAGGACGCCACAAGCUGACUCCGCCUUGGGAAGGUCCGUACGUGGUGGCCGAGGUCCUGAAGCCGGGAACGUACAAGCUGGCGGACGAAAAGGGGGCAAUUCUCACCAACGCAUGGAACAUCGAACAGCUACGUCGAUUCUACCCCUAGAAGUUCUAAACUUAUGUUCCUGCUUACGUUUCGUACCAAGACUUUGUAAAUGAAUGAAUGAAUAAAUAAAGUCCUUACCUCGAAACAAUUCUUCUUUCUUUGUGCCGAGAAGAUUAAUAAGUCACGAUCUCGACGUUAAAAGGGGGCGCCAACUAUGACCCAUCAUAGUCAGCACCCCCUCGGGGGCUACCAGGGGGACGACCCCCCCCCCCCGAGUAUCGAAAAAACCAAGAAGUUUUCUUCUCUUACGUAGUAAACCUUGCACGGUUCAAGUAGCUAAGGCGCCUCGAGCCCCUCAAAGGCCGAGGGACAACGAGCUGGAGAACUCCUACGCCCCCGGGCUACGGAAACUCUACUCACUUCCCCACCAUUGAAGUGAUCGAGGUGGUCUUUUACGAAAAAUCGAGCAAGGGAUACAAACGUAGACGCAAAGAGAAACGAAAGCAUCAAGCGGAAAGACAAAAUAAGCAUUUAACAAUUACGAAAGUGAUACAGCAUCAGUUACCCACAGAAUUAACAAAGUAUCGUACAAGGGGCCUCAGGCGCCCUGAGCAGGCUCGCAGGCCUCAGUCCGCGGCACGAUCCUCACCGCCCUCGCCUCCGCCCGAGCUAGCCUCAGGAGGGAGCACCUCAGGCUCGAAAAGCUUGGCCAACCUUUCCCCAGGAGCCUCCGCAUCGUCGAUGAAGGCAUGGAGCCUCUCCUCGUUCUCCGCGUCGGUCUUGUAGAUGUCGGUGACGAAGCCAUGGGACACCAUCUCCAUGUCGUAGGAGAAGCCCGAGCAGACAACCGCCAUCGCCCGCUUCACCCCGAUGUGGAGGGCGUCCCGCACCCGAUCUCGCAGCGUCGCGCCUAUGUAGCACAACUGGUCGACCAGGGCGUCGCCUCGAGCGUCCUCCCUCGACUCAUCCAUAGGCUCGACCUCCCAAGAGGUCGAGAGAUCACUUAUCGCCGUCCGCACUCGACGGUUCAAAGCAACCUCCGCCUCGAGCUGAGCCUUGGUGUUGCGAGCCUCGGCUUGGGCGGCCAGGAGUUCGUCCUUGAGCCCUGUAAAAGCCAAUACAAAGAGACCUUAGGAAAAACUAAGCACACCUCGGAAAAAGAAAUCUGAUAGAGGAAACAUACCGCGUACGGUCUCCUCGAGGGCCGUGUUCUCGCCGACCAGCCUGGUGUUGGCCCCCUCGAUCUCUUUGUUGGAGCGUGCCAGCUCGGUGUUGGCAACGCGGAGAUCCUCGAUCGCCUUGCCAGCCUGAGCAAUGGCCCCACUCUUCUCCAGCAAUUGUCCCUUCAGACGCUCGACGUCGUUAGAGAGACUGCGGGAUCGAGCCCGCUCCGCCUCGAGAUCUUCGAGGGCCUUCUUCUUGGCUUCCUCCGCGGCGCCCCUGGCGACCUCGCCGUUCACAUGCUCCACCUUCAUCUUUCGGAAGGACUCUCGGAGAGAGUCCAGGUCGGAUUUAAGGAGGCCCUUCUCCUUGUCCAGAUCCGCGAUAACGCUCUUGUAGGACAGGGCCUCCUCCCGGGCUCUGGACGCGGCCUCCUCGACCUUAAGAGCCCGCUCCCGUAGCUGCAUCGUCUCCUCCUCCGCCUUCUUCGAGGCCUCUCGGGCCUCAGCCAAGGCAGCCUCCCUCGCCUUCUUCUCCUCCUCGAGUGCUAUGAGAUCUUUGUAAGCUUUAAGGAGCUUUUCCUGCGACUCGAGGAGUUGAUCCUUGAGGAGGGGGAGCUGCUCCCAACCGCCCCUCGUGGCGUGUAUGAAGCUGGACUUGAUGCGGGAGGUCUCUUUCAUAUCCUGCGAAUCAAGGGUCGGAUGGAUUAGAAUACAGAAACCAGAAAGCACCAUAAGGAUUGGAGUUCGAGAAACACUUACGAAAUAAGCCGGGCCGAGCCCGUUGUUGAUAACGUCCGAGAGGAGCCCCACCACAUGCUUCAUCCAAAGGCGGAGCUCCUCGACGUGUUCCCACUUCUCCGCCUCCUUCCGAUCGUCGAGGAAGAUGUCGGGCUCAGACGGGUCGUGGGAGGCCCGGAUACGGAUGCGGUCGGGGCACCAGUGCUCCAUCUCCCGGUCAGCCCGCGCCUUAACGCCGCGGAUGAGGCCCUCGACGGUCUCGAGGGAGCCCCCAUGGCGCAGGAACAGGUCGACGAGGCAUGGGAACCAUCCGUCGUCGUCCACCGUCUUCCAGGUUCCAUCCUUGGUCCCCGAUGCCCCAAUUUCAUCCUCCUCGGAAGGAAAGCGGUCCUCCCACGCCCGACGUUCCCGGAGGAACCCUGGGGCGAUCCCGUCCAUGCCGUAAAUUGUCCUCUUGAUGUCGGACUCGGGGUCGGGGGGCGUGCGCUUCAGGCAGGCGAGCGCCACCACUCCAUCCGCUCGCCCCGGCUCUGCCCGGAUCGCGGCAGGUGCCCCCGGGAGGAGCCACGCCGGGGUUGGGGAGCCGUACACUGGCAGGUCCUCCUCCUCGCCGAGCUCUUGCGGCUCCGGUGGUACUGGCUGGGCCGGACCUUGGGGCGGAGGCUCGAGCGGUCCCUCCUCUUGGCCCGCCUGCUGCUGCUGCAGUUGCUGCUGCGGUGGUUGCUGCUGCUGCUGCUGCGGUUGCUCCUGCGGUUGUUGCUGUUGCUGCUGCUGCUGUUGCUGUUGCUGCUGCUGUUGUUGUUGCUGCUGUUGCUGUGCCUCAUGCUCCUGUGGCUGCCGCGCCGCCUCGCGCUCCCGCUGUUCAUCCCCCUCCCUCUUCUUUUUCUGCUCCUCGAGGGUGCGGAGGCCGGUGGGCCAGGGAGUUGAUCCCUCGACAUGAGGGGUCGACGUUUCCUCCUCCAUGGGGCGGGCACCCCCAGACGCUCUGUCACCAUCAGACGUGUCGCUGAUGGUGAUGGGUUCCCCCUCGACCCCCAAUCUAGGGGGAUCGGGGGCUCCCUCUGAUGCUUGCGUCUGGGGCGCCUCAUCACCAGUCGGCAGCGACGGAGUAGGCGCGGGACGAGACGGAGCCCUCUCGACGCCGGCUGGAGGUUGGGGACUGGAGGAGCCUGCAAAACAAAGGGUAAAAAGGUCAGACGUUAUAAUAACCGACACAAGAACAUCGCAAGGCCCAGAAAUAAACUACGAACCUGGUUCCUUGGAGGCGGCGCCCGUUUUGAGCCUCUUUGCCAUGGAUGGCUGGGCCUGCUCGAGGGUCCGCUUUAGCCUGAGAAAAGAUCGGUAUAUGAGCAAACGCAGAGGAACAGGAAGACAAAAGCCACAGCAUCGAGAAGGCUUACCCCACGGGGAGAACAGCUCGCCUCCCUCCGCCCCGACCGGUGGGCCACGAGCCACCCCGCGUCAGGGCUCCAGGCCCCUCGAGGGCAGGCGCUGGCCUAGGUGCGUCAAUUCCCGCCUGACGGGCGCCGGGACUGGUGCUCCUGCGGCCGACCUCUCCUUUCUCGGAGGCCGCUGCGCGACCGCGGGUCAGUGGCCCCGUCGCUUGGGGCCUGGCAUGACCGCUCUCCCUGAGCGCCGGGGGAGGGUGCGGCACGACUUGGCUGACCUUGGGCGCGGGAGGGGUAUCGGCGCGAGGACGGUAGGAUCCGCUAGGGCCCCCCGUCGGAGCUUCCGCCCGAGGAGCGUCGACGUCGCCUUGAGAUGGACCCCCGAGGAUCCGGUCAAGACGAGACGCCAUCCCCUCGGAGUCCUCACUGUCCUCGUCAUCGUCGUCAUCUUUCUCGCUGGGGGACUCUUCCUCAGGCUCUCCCCUCUGCCUGGACUUGGACCGGCGCGCCUCUAAGGCUUGCCGGUCGAGGUUUUUCUUCUUCUCCCCCUUCUUCUUAGAGUCCUUAACGGACUUCGACUUCUCGGCGGACCGGCGCCACGCGUCGCGGUCGACUUCGUCCUCCCUCACCGGGGGCCUCGAGGAUCGAACGUCGAUCCGCCCCUGCCACCGUAAAAAGUAGACUUAGAAAAAGGGGGUGGAAAAGGAACCCAGAGUCAAGGCUACCCACGAGGAAGAAAACAUACCAGAUCGACCGAGCCUUCAUCAGGCCUCAUGGGGAAGCCGUUGACGUGCUGCGACUUGAAGUCGCCGGCGAUGGCCGCCCUGACCCGGGCGGCGACUUCAUCGUCCGCCAGAGCCACGUUGGACAUCCGGCAAGCUUUGAGAUCCCGGGACGAGACGCCCGGCCCCAUUUCGUCCAUCCUCAACGGCCGAGACAUCAGGGGAAGGACCCUCCGACGAUGGACGGCAGAGAGGACGAGAGCGGCGGACAAGCCCUCCAGGCGCAGCUUCUUCAUGGCGUCGAGGAGGGGGUCGAGCCGCGACUGGUGCUCUUGGACGACGCCAUACGUCCAGUUGUCUGGGCGCUCCGAGAUCAGACGGCCCGUGUAGGCGGGGAAGAGACCGUCGUCGUUUCUCAGAUAGAACCACUGGGAGUCCCACCCAGCAUGGUUCGACGACAGCCCCACCGGGAUGUACUCGCGCGGCCUUUCCGUCUUCUUCGUCUUCAACACCAGGUUGAGGCAUCCGGCCCGCACGGGUUUCCUCACGCCGGUGGUUCCGGUGGGGGCGUUGAAAAGUUCGCCCCUAUAGAGGUGGAGCCAUAGAUCCCAAUGGGGCAUCAUCCCCAGAUAGCCCUCACACACCGCGAUGAAGACCGCCGCGACGGUGAUGGCGUUCGGGGAAAAAUGCUGGAGCUCCACUCCAUAGUGGAAGCAGAGGGCCCGCAUAAAGCGACUCGGGGGAGCACCCAAGCCAUGGCGGUGGAACUUGGCGAAUGACACCACAUAGCCCUCGGGUGGCUGGGGCUCCCUAUGACUCGCCGGCGGCGCGAUCCACUCCGGCGAAGACUGCGAAGUGCGGCGACGCAAGAGCCCUUCGUUCUCGAGCUCUAGCAGACGGUGGUCCGUCAUCAACGACGGACGCCAGUCGUCGGCGGCAACAAGCCUCACAGGCAUCUUGGUUGGAAGGAUGGUGGAUUCACUACCGCUCGAGGGGGUGCACGCGCGCGUGGAGGAAGCAAGAGAGCAAAGGCAGCGAGAAGACGAAGGCGAGAGGACGGAAGGGGAAAGAAAGAAUGGAGCAACACCACAGCGUAUUUAUAGAUAGCGGCCAACUGACGGAUAUAUCCGAUAAAUGAGGUAACUCCCCCCAUAAAUACGCCGUCUAACGGUCCUUUCUCUCCUCGCAGGUAGGACGCUCCGAAUUCCCCGCCGAUACAGUGUCGCAACGUCACUUACCUCAAAAGGUGCGCCCAACGGGCAGAAAAGACGAACCGGCACGGCAGCUUCCUUACUUCGUAAGCCAAGGUAUGCGCCCACGAUAGUCUCGAGAGGUCGAUGGCUGGCCCGUCGAAAGGGUUCGACAGCCGAUCUCGAGCACCAAGAGUCAGGGAUCCCCAGCGAGUGGUCGAAAAUCGAGGCCCGCCUCGAGGACUCGCUGGCGAUGUCCAAGGUAGGGUCGAGACAGUCGAGAGGAAUCCCCCCGAAGGGAGGCAUCGAGCCGCUGGACUCUAUCGAAUGAGACCAGUAUCCCCGACCACGUCGACCCUGCUUUAUGAGGACGCCUCCGGGCUACAGCUGACCCCCUCGAAAGGGGCACAGGUUCUCACUUGGACUACCCGCUAGGAACUCAAUCUGGGGUGAAAGACGCUCGCUCUAUCGAGAGUACGUCGAAACCUCCACGCAAGGCAAAGCCGAACAGAACCUUCCACCACGGGUGUUGACAGCGUUUCUGCAAAUUUGGCAAAAUAACCCUCGAAGGAGUUAAAUACUCCCUCGAGGGCUCGGGGGCUACCCCCGCGGGGUCGCUCGCGCGCCCCCGUGGAAGCUCGACCGUAAAAACGAAAGUCUCCACUCGAGCGCCAGCGCUCGAAUGAAGACUCGGGGGCUACUGUCGAGGGUAUCAACAAGGGGUACCCUCACCAAUGCGUAUAACGAGACCAUCUGUACACACGCGCGGCCAUCGACGGCCGCAGCCUCGAAGACGGAAAUAGCGUCGAGCGAAUCGGUCAGGGCUCGAGCGACAACUGCCGUCGAAUACGGAAGCGGGCUCGAGCGAACCGAGAGGCGUCGAGCGCAAGGACACUGUCCGCCGCCUGACGCGCGCACGAGAGCCAGGGCAUUUAAUGCACCUGACGCUUCCCCACCUAACACACGGGUCACGGGAGGCGUGAUAGGGAACAGGCUUCUGUCCCAUCGUUCUUUUUGCAGCCUUCCCACCGAACGACCCAGGGCGUGUCAGGACGCGGGAAACAAGGAUGGAACGUCUAAUCGGGACCCCCUCGAGACACCCAAGGUCAGCGCUCCAGAUAUCGACACCUCGUACGGCGUCCGACCCUCGACUUCACCAGGCUCCUUCCUGGAGACGAGUCGGGCGUCGACUGACCACGCCGUAACCGCUCCGCCGGAUUUGCCGCCAAGCCCUAUAAGCGUGCAUCCGCCGAACCAAUCCAAGACGGCGCGCAGAGCAGAAUGCAGGGGCACGCGCGAUCAUCACCUGGCUAUUAAGACGGGACGGCUCGAGGUCAUGCCGGUACGGAAACCUCGAGUAGGUCAGCGCUCCAUGCUGCUAUCGACUCCAAUUCCUACACCUAUACAUGUACCCUAGGUCCUUCCUUGGAACUAUAAAAGGAGGGACUCAGGAAUAGAAUAGAGGGAUCACGACACAAGACCACGCUCAUACGUAGUAGAGCUCCACACUUCAUACCACGCUUGUAUUCGCCCCUGUACAAGCACUUAGGUGCAAGAUAAUACAAACUCUCUCCCCCCGCUGGACGUAGGGCCUUCUCUUGCCCGAACCAGGAUAAAUCUCUGUGUCUUCUUGCAUCACCAUCCGGGAAAGGGAGCACGCAUACAAAUUUACUCGUUGGUGUGACCCCCCGGGGGAAAACACCGACAAUGCUGCAGCUGAGCAUCGAAUCAUCAGCUUUAUGGAUGGCAAUGCAGGAUACAAUCAAAUAUUCAUGGCUGAAGAAGAUAUUCCGAAGACUGCGUUCAGGUGUCCUGGUCAUGUUGGGUUGUUUGAAUGGAUAGUCAUGACCUUUGGCUUGAAGAACGCUGGUGCUACUUAUCAAAGGGCCAUGAAUUUUAUAUUUCAUGAGUUCAUCGGCAAGCUGGUGGAGAUUUAUAUUGAUGAUGUGGUGGUUAAGUCUGGAGACUUCACAAGGCAUCUUGCCGAUCUACGAAAGGUGUUAGAAUGCACGAGGAAGCAUGGUUUGAAGAUGAAUCCCAAUAAGUGUGCAUUUGGUGUAUCGGCAGGGCAGUUCCUCGGUUUCAUGGUACAUCAAAAGGGGAUUGAAAUUAGUUGAAGAUCUAUUGAUGCUAUCAACAAAAUAGUGUCCCCUACCAACAAGACCGAGCUCCAGUCCUUGAUUGGCAAGGUAAAUUUUAUUAGAAGAUUUAUAUCUAAUUUGUCUGGUAAAAUUCGUGCUUUCAGUCCUCUUCCUAAGUUAAAGGCCGAUCAAGAAUUUGUUUGGGGGAAAGAACAACAGUUGGCUCUGGAUGAAAUCAAGAGUUAUUUAGUGAAUCUUCCAGUUCUGAUUCCACCUCAGCAAGGGAAGCCCUUCAGAUUGUAUUUGUCUACCGAUGGGAUGGUCAUUGGUUCAGCUUUAAUUCAAGAAUUUGAAGGGAAGGAGCGUGUGAUUUAUUACUUAAGCAGGAGGUUGAUUGAUGCUGAGACCAGGUAUUCGGCUAUUGAGAAAUUAUGCUUGUGCUUGUAUUUCUCUUGUAUCAAGUCAAGACACUAUUUGCUAUCGGCCGAAUGCACUGUUAUUUGCAAAGAUGAUGUGGUCCGAUACAUGCUAUCUAUGCCGAUCAUGAGUGGCAGGAUCGGUAAGUGGAUUUUGGCGCUGUCAGAAUUCGAUCUACAUUACGAAUCGGCUAAGGCAGUUAAGGGACAGAUUAUGGCCGAUUUCGUAACUCAACAUUGCGGUGCAGUGGAGGCGUUGGAAAUUGUACCCUGGACGCUCUUCUUUGAUGGAUGCACGUGUGACUGGGGGGCAGGAAUCGGCAUAGUAUUAAUUUCCCCUCGGGGAAGGAAGUAUGAGUUUUCCUUGCCGAUUGUUGCCACGUCGACGAAUAAUCAGGCUGAGUAUCAAGCUUUAAUAAGUGGGUUGGAGUUACUAAGAGAAGUUCAUGCCGAUGCCGUUGAGGUCUUCGGGGAUUCUAUGCUAGUUAUAAAUCAAUUGGCUGGAAGCUAUGAAUGCCGAAGUGAAGUCCUCAUAACUUAUUACGAAAGGAGUAUGCAACUGUUAAAGGAAUUCAAGAAUUUCUGAUUAGAGCAUGUUCCUUGAUUGCAUAAUGAAGAGGCCAAUCGGUUGGCUCAGCAUGCCUCGGGAUAUCAGCCUAUGAUUAAUGCAAUAUCGGCAAUCGGUGCCGAUGAUUGGAGAAAAGAAAUUAUUGAUUAUUUGAAGGAUCCAUCUAGGAAAGUUGAGAGACGUGUUCGGUUUCAAGCCACCAAGUAUGUGCUCCUCGAGGCUGAAUUGUAUUAUCGGACUAUUGAUGGGAUUCUUCUCCGAUGCUUAGGUGAGGAUGAAGCCAAGAGUUUGAUGGGAGAAAUCCAUGAAGGGGUAUGUGGAGCACAUCAGUCGGCUUUUAAGAUGAAGUGGAUGAUUAGGAGGAAUGGAUAUUAUUGGCUGACCAUACUUGAGGAUUGCUUUAAGUAUUUCAAAGGGUGUCAAAAGUUUGGCAAUAUUCAAAGGGCGCCUGCAUCAGCUGUGAAUCCUAUUAUAAAGCCUUGGCCGUUCCGAGGGUGGGCUAUUGAUUUGAUCGGCCAGAUUUAUCCACCAUCCAGCAAGGGGCAUAAGUUCAUCUUGGUUGCCACCGAUUAUUUCACUAAGUGGGUUGGAGCUAUUCCUUUGAAGAAAGUUACGUCAGCCAAUAUGAUUGAUUUUGUGAAGGAGCACAUCAUUUACCGAUUUGGAAUUCCUCAGACAAUUACUACCGAUCAGGGCACCAUGUUCACAUCAGGGGAGUUUGAUGAAUUUGCAAUCGGUAUGGGAAUUAAAGUAUUAAAUUCUUCUCCUUACUAUGCUCAAGCUAAUGGGCAGGCCGAGGCAUCUAACAAAGGGAUUAUCAAGAUUAUUAAACGAAAGAUUGAAGAAAAUCCUAGGACGUGGCAUACAUUGUUAAGCGAAGAUCUAUGGUCAUAUCGGAUGGCUUGUCAUGGGUCGACCAAGAUUUCACCUUACCAGUUGGUGUAUGGGCCUGAUGCAGUGUUGCCUUGGGAAGUUAAGGCUGGAUCUAGGCGACUAUCUUUUCAAGAUCAAUUGGUUGCCGAUGAUUAUGCUACUUUGAUGACGGACGAGUUAGAUGAUCUAGCAGGACAUCUGCUAAAGGCCUUGAUGAGUAUAGAAGAGAAUAAGAAGAGGGUUGCCAGAUGGUAUGAUAGGAAAGUAAAGGCUAAGGAGUUUGCUGAUGGAGACUUGGUAUUGAUAUUGAUCUUACCGAUCGGGACUAAAAGUUCAAAAUUUGGGAAGUGGUCUCCCAAUUGGGAGGGUCCCUAUCGGAUAAGUCGAUCGGCUCUUGGUAACGCCUAUAUUCUAGAAACUCUCGAAGGAGUUGAAUUUCCCAGAGCAUUAAAUGACAAAUAUCUAAAAAAGUACUACCCCAGCAUAUGGGUCGAUGCAUGAAAAUUAGGUGCCGAUAACAUUCCUAUCGGCUGGAUCAAAAUGUGUCUGGGGGUAAAGCUCAAUGUUUAAAAAGGCGCCGAUAACAGUCCUAUCGGCUAGACCAAAUAUUAGGAAGAGCUAGAAAGCAGAGGAGCGAGGAUGUGUUGUCGAUGAAGAGCUCAUGUGUUCAACAGCGCCUGGAUCGCCGAUAUGGCGCGUAGAGGGAUUUGGUUGGCUUCCUCUAUCUCCUUUAUGUCAUCAUCAGCAGAGCCUUCCACUGGUUUCAAUCUCUUCUUCAACUGCAGCGCUUUACGACCAUGGACAUUUCGCUCUUGCACAAGGAGCUUGAUUGCCUCAGGCAGCUGGUUUUCCUCUUGUCAAGCCUGGGACAAGGCUUCUUCCACUUGCUUGAGCUCUGCCAACAGAGCUUCUCUUUUUGCUCACAGAUCAGAGAUCUUGUGCUUUAGUUCAUCUCCUGAGGACUUCAAGGUGCUGAUGUUCUUGUGCUUCUCAUCGGUAAGGAGUUUUUCUUUCAUCAUCUCCUUAGAAAGCUGAGUCUAAGCAGCUCUAUUGGCAAGGCGCUGGGCAUCCCUCUGGUACUGCAGUUGACGACUCUCUAGGUGUGCUGCUUGGAAGAGAACUUCUUCGGCAUCAGCGGGGAUUUGGCCUCUCAGGGUCUUGAAUAAAGCCUUGGCCGGAUCAGAGUCAUCAACUAGUUGGGCUGUGUCUUGAUGAAAGAGAGCUGAUAGUUCUUCCAGCCUUGCCCUGACCUCUGCCGAUGUGAUCCUGACUGCCUGAGAAGAGCUUUCUUCUUCGCCUUCAUCUUCAGAGAUGUCGAUGGCAAAGGAGAACAAACUACCGGGAGAGUCCUGCUCCUAAAAAGGAAGGAAAAUGAGUUAUUCUACAGUCAAGUAUUGAUAAAUGAUACAGAUAGGAAUUGGAUAACUUACUUGUUUCAGGGCGAUUUCUUGCCUCUGACUGGAAGAUGCCGAUGGAGCCACAGGUUGAUUGGCCAGAGUUGCCGAUGGAACUAUGUCGACUGAAAAAAUAACAAGAAAUAAUUGUAAGACAGAGGAAAUGAGUUCAUCGGCAAUGACUUCGUAAAAGUAUGUUACCUUGGGGAGGUGCAGCGCUUAUCUGGAUCGAAGAGACUACCGACGAUAUGAUUGACCCUGCUGGAUCGGUAGUCUGCUCGCCCACAUCAGCCGAUGUGUCUUCCGGCUGAGGUACCUCAGGUUGAGGCUCUUCUAGUUGGGGUUCUUCCGCUUGUGGUGCUCCUUGCGGCUGAGAAGGGGAUGGUGCUUGUUGUAUCUAUGUUUCUGGAGACGAGGGAGAGGAUUCUACCUGAAUUGGAGAUACUGGGGGAGGAGGAGGUGUUGCUACUCUUUGGCGCUUUGCUUGUGCCCUGGUACUCUUGGCACCCUUUCUCUUCGGUUGACUAGACUGGGGGGCAUUGGCACUUUUGCCUUUGAUCUUUGCCGAUGCACCGGUGUUCUAGCACAGAAAGGGAAAUUUGUGAGUGCAAAUACAACAGAUGUGAGAGUGAGAUCAGUGUGAAAGAGUUUGAGAAUAUACCUUGAACGCUUGUGCCAAAGUAGAGGCAGCUACUGAUGGAGAUAUCUGAGUUCUCCUGGUGGUGACAUUAUUGAGGCGUACGCCUCGAUGCAUGACGGCAGCCAGAGUGGGAGCGUUGUUGCCGAUUGAGGAGAUCGGGCCUGAUGGAAAGAGGUCAAUCGGCUUGCCACUCCUGCUGACCGAUGGGGGAUCGUUGUCAACCUGCAGUGCAAUACAAAAAGUAAGUUACCGAUGGAAAUAAAAUUGAACAAAUCGAGGCAUCGGUUUGGAGAUACUUACAGUGUUAUCAGGGACCUUGUAUUGGGGAUCGAUCAUGCCACGGUAUGUAAGGGCCGAUCUGCAGAACAAGUGCUCCUUCCAUUCUUCCCACCAUUGCUUGUACGCCUGAGUGAUAAAGGCGGCCGGGACCCACUCUGAUAAAUCUGCAUCUGUAUCGGCACUUGAUGGCAGUUGGGCCACUCGGAUCCACUCGAGGAGGUUAGUGAUGGCUUCCCUGGGUUUCAUCACAUCGGCGUAACAGAGUGCAAUCGGCAGCUGGCCGAAGGCUAAUUGACGGGCUAGUGCCGAUGGAUUAUAGAACUCGUAGGUUUGAUUGGAGGUCUUCCCACUGCCAAAGAAGUUUACUGGUAUGGCUCUGGGAGUUAUCAAUGCCAUCAGCACUUCAUGAUCCUUGUUGAGAGCAUCGUUGAAUGGAUGGAAGACCAAGGGAAACAUGGUGUCUGGGUCAUCAUAAGGAAACCAUGCUCGCUGCUCUCUAGUUAGACCUUCGUACAGGGUUUGGAAGAAUCGGCUGAUUUGGUCUGCAUUGCCCCCUGUGCUAGGGAGAACUAUGACAGCUUCGCCAAAGUUUAGGGGAGGGCGUGUUGCCGAUUCUUCUUCGUCCAACUCAUGGUCCUCGGUUAUAUCUCUGGGGAAGCACUGUGCGAAAAGAUCAAACUCGAGGCGCCUGUGCAUGUGGAGACUGAGCCACAUAUUAAUGAACCACCAGGGACCCCCCAAGUUGCCGAUGGGCUGACCAAGCAGGAGUUUCCUAGUUGCCUGGUGGAGGAGGUGGUAGGCUGUGCCAAGCAGGUAUCGGCCAAGGGGAAAUCGACCACCAUCGGCUAAUCUUUCUGCUGCUGCUAGAUAGACAGAAGUCGGUCCUGCCGAUCGACCACAAAAUACAAACUUGUCCAACCACAUGUUCAAGAAGCUGGUCUGUUCCUUUGGAUUAACAGGACCUGUUCGUCUAUAUUUUUGGAUGUACCCUGACCAACCGCCGAUGGAGCGAGUUUCUACCUUAGCACUGGGUUUGGUAUCAAAGAAGUGGGUGCUAUCGGCGGAAGAUACAUCUAGGCCGGUGAGCAUAACUACAUCGGCAAGUGUAGGGGAAGCAGGUCCAUGACCAAAGACAAAAGCAUUGAGGGUGUCUGACCAAAAAUAAGAUGCAGCUAUCAGCAAUGACUCAUUCCUAUGCAUAUCGGCAAUGGAUAGCCUGAUGCAUUGGUCCAGUUUUCUCUCACCCCAUUGGACUUCAUUUGAGUUGCUAACUCUCAGGAACCAAUCUUUCCAUCCCACGGUAGGACUGGGCCAGGAACGGAAGGUGUCUUUCCACAGAUCCAAAGAAAAGUUCUCGGCUCUAAAAGGUAUCCUGUUGGUUUCUUCGUUAAUAAAGUCGGUGGGAUCUGGAUUCCCUAACGGACCGAGACAUUGAAGAUGUGGCUGAUCGGUGGGGAUGACGAUGUUAUUGGACACAUUCUAAUGGUUUUGAAGGUAAAAGAAGAAGAAAGAAAGAAAAAAGGAAAAUGUUCAGUAAAAUAAAUUGCGGAUAAACGGAGAUGCGAGGAAAAGCACAAAAGGCGGAAUGGAGAACUUACCUCAGGGACAGUGAAGUUGAUGGCCAUCUCUUCGCGAAGAGGAUGGAUGAAGGAUUCGGAGUUGAUGAAGAAGGGGCUUCGGUGGAGAUCUUGGAGCUCUCGAAUAGCGCCGCCACCGGGAAAAGUGGAGUUGGGGCUGUAGAAUGAUGUGAUGGGGAGGAGUACCCGAGAAGGAACUAUUUAUCGGACAAAAUGGGCAAGGGCAAAUCUAACUUAUCACUUCGCCGUAUCCGUAAAAUCCGAGGAUACUCAGGAAGAUAUGGUAACUGUUCGCACGGUAAUCAAGGGAUUGCGCAUGUGAUUUGACAGGAAGCGGUCGUGAUCUGGAGAUAUUUUACUGUACGAGAUUUCCUGAUCAGUCCAUCGGCAGCGCCUUGUAACGGUCAUACUGCCGAUGAGCGGGUAAAGUGGAGAUAUCCGUUUGAGAGGAUAAGAUACUUUACUGAAUAGGACGUCCUAAGCGGUCCAUCGGCAGGUCUUUGUAACGAUAAUAUUGCCGAUGACCGAAUAAAGUGGAAAUAUCCGUUUAGAAGGUUGAGGAUUUCGAGGGAUAUACGGAGGAGUCAAACCAGGGUUGUUCAGAUUGAGGCUGUCGGUUACCAAAUCAGGAGUAUUAAUUGUGGAAAGGCAUCAUUACUGUAGAGAAUUUUGGAGCAUUAAUGAUUUUAUACUCCGAAACUGGGGGGGCAUGUGUUGACACCGUUUUUGGGCACGUGUCUAGGAUCGGUAGAAUAUAAAUCGGCAGGACAGGGCAAAGGUAGCUAGUCUGCAGGAAAGCUACCGAUGAAGGUGGUUGCCGAUGAGGACACGGCUGGAGGUGGCUAAGUCCAUGGGUGGUGAUGUAUCUAUGCCGAUGGCCAGCAUUAACUUCUGCUGUUGGUGGCGGUGGAGAAUCUGCCGAUGACGCGGGAGGAAGACUUGAAGAUUGCCGAUUGGUCUAUGGUGGCGUCCCAAGCUGUCGCGGGACGAUAGUGUUAUGUUUUUUCCUUAGUCAUUUAAAAUCGUUUUGUAUACGGAUUCUAUUUAAUUUGGAAUUCGAGUUCUAGUCGUGUCUGGUGGUAGCUCUUUUGGGCAGGGUAUAAAUGUAGAUCCUAGGGCCUUGUAAUCGAGACAUCGAUCAAUCAAUCAAACACAAGUUUCUACUCAUAUUACAGCAUCUACUUUUUCGACGACUUCGUCAUACCUUUUCCUUUUUAUUACGAGUUCUUAAGAAUUCGUCGACUUAAGCUCGGCGUGUUCUCAAGUUCCGCGUGAAUACCUCUUGGCCGUGGCAUCCGGGCGCAUCGCUGUUGUCGGGACCAAAGUAUUCGAGUUAUCACCUUUGCCGAUAGUAAGGUCAAAUCGGCUGGCACGCCUUAACGUUUAAAUCGGGUAUUAGCCCUUUGUGUUUGCAGAUCAGCUUUUGCAUGAAUAGUUACGUUAUUAUGAUCAUUUAAUUAUUGUUUAUGCUGCUAGUUAAUUAUGCUUAUAUUUGAUCAUGUGAUUGUUGGAUUAAUUAUGCUACCUUGACAUUUGCUAUCUAGUCAUAAACCUGCUAUCCACUAUUAAAAGUUAAAUGCCGUCAAACCAGUGUCAGCUUUUUGAGCCUCAUGAACCCCUGGUUAUACUUUUUGAGUAUGAUAUGUGCUCACUCUUGUAAUUUCCCAACACCCCAAGUUAUGCAAAUGAUGAUGCUUGGAAUGAGGACUACCGUUAUGAGUACUAGGUUUUGAGUCAACUAGUCAACAGUGUCCCUGUGUGGUGCUUCCGUCGAGAGUGUUGUUUAUCUCAUAUUAUUUUUGUGCAAGACUAUGUGAUUUAUUAUGUUCCGCUAUGUAAUAAACACUGCAAUGGUACAUUUGAGAUUUGUCUACUUAUGUGUGCGACUAUUUCUGGGGCACAGGCACAUAUGAGUCUUUUAUGCAUCCUAUUUUGUUCUUAAAAUAUGGGUGUGACACAAAGUUUAUCAAUUAUCUUGCUGAUGUAAUUAAGAGAGCUGAUGUAAUUAAGGUUAGUUAUCUACUAAAAAUGUGGGUCGUUACAUCCUUCCCAGCAUAGAAAAUAUUUUGUCUUCAAAAUCGAACUUACUUAAAGACGUCGGGGUAAGCUUCGCGUAGAUCUUCCUCCUUUUCCCAAGUUGCUUCUCGAAUGGAGUGGUUCUUCCAUUGCACCUUGUAGAAUCUGAUUUUUCUCCUCCUCAGUUGUCGAUCUUCAACUUUUAGUAUUUUUAGUGGACGCUCUUCAUAGCUCAAGUCUGGCUGCAGCUUGAUAUUCAGAUCUUGAUGUUUUUCUGAUGGCACUCUUAGACAUUUCUUUAAUUGUGAGACAUGGAAUACGUCAUGUACUCUGGAAAGCUGAGUGGGCAAUUCAAGCUGAUAGGCUGCUGUACCUUUCUGCUCUAGUACCUUGAAUGGCCCAACAUACCUAGGACUUAGCUUCCCUUUUGUUCCAAAUUGACGAACUCCUCUCAUUGGUGAUACCUUCAAAUACAAAAAAUCUCCAGGUGCAAAUUCUAAUUCUCUACGCCUUUUAUCAGUAUAGCUCUUUCAUAUACUCUGUGCAAUUCGAAGUCGCUCUUUGAUCACUUGUAUCUUCUCAUCAUUCUCCCUCACUAAACUUGGGCCUAGCAAUGGUUUCUCACCCACUUCAUACCAACAAAUAGGUGAUCGACACUUACGUCCAUACAAAGCUUCAUAUGCUGCCAUUUCUAUGCUCGAUUGAUAGUUGUUGUUGUAUGCAAACUCUACUAAGUGUAGGUGUUUGUCCCAUGAUUCUCCAAAAUUCAUUGCACAACACCUCAACAUAUCCUCAAGUAUUUGGUUCACCCUCUCUGUUUGGCCAUCUGUCGGCGGAUGAUAGGCUGUGCUAAAGUUGAGUUUUGUCCCUAAAGCAUGGUGGAGGCUGUUGACGGUCCUUAAGUAUCAAAUUUAAUUAACAAAUAUACAAAGAAAAGUAUCCAUAUGCAACUGACAUCCAAACUUAGGGUUUUAUCUGACAGAAUUUCAUGAGUUUUGGUGUUUGUCUAUUUCUGUAGGGGGUUAUCAGGAAUUAUAGAAGAAAGGCCCACACGUUAGGUUUACAUAGAGAUAUUAACGUGCCGCGCAAUUAUCUUACAUCUAGAAGAGUCCAGAAGCCACGGGAACGAACGUGAGACCGGACGGGCUCGGGGGCAGGGCGCCCGCCCUCCCCCUAGGGCGCUCGCCCUGGCCUUUCCACCAAUCACAGCCAAUCUCGCGGAUCAUGCUCCACCUACCUAAAGGAUCAAGGAUAAUCGUUCAAUCAAUGUCAGUUUGAUCCGAAGGCCUACACUCACGUGGAAGGACUAUAUAACCAGACCCCCUGGCCCCUAGAGGAGAGCACCUCUCAACCCCAAUUCAUUAUUCAUCAGGGAGAAGAAGUCUCUGAUCAAGCCCUAGAGCCACCACAUCAAUUAGAUCUCUAGAUUAGCAUAGCUACAUAGGAUUAGAACUAGAAGGAGUCAAUCUUCGAUUGGUUUCCGGAUCUGUCAAGAGGAUUCUUGGUAAUUCUCUAUUGUUCUUCAAUUGUUCAUCUUUGUUCUUCAAUAUUAUGAAUAUGACUUUGUUCUACUUCAAUAUAUUGAUUAUGACUUUGCUCUACUUGUUUAUAUUCGCAAUUAUAUUGUUCUUAGUUUAUCAUAGUUAUAUACUUGGCUUAGUUAGAUUGGAAUUAUAUACAUGUUUAGGAUCGUAUAGCGUUUAUCCAUUGGAUCCAUGGGUAAAUGAUAGAUAUUGUGUAGGCGUGGUACUUAUACCGUAUUUAUCUGCGAUUGUACCCUAUAUGCCAGAUCGCGGGAUAGUUCGUGGUAGUGACAGCUCCAUUGACUCUUAUAUAGUCCCCCUCUCGUGUACUGGGCUGGCAAAGCAACAUUAUUACAGGAGAGUGAUUGCGAUGUUACUCAUAUUCCUUGAUAAUACCACUAUGCAUGGGCGUAGUCCUAUCUCACAAUGAUAUGCUAGACUGUAUAGUUAAGAAUGACUUAGGAAAUAUUCUUGUAGUUCAUCCUAAUUCCAUGCUAAUGACUUGCUAGAAUAUCUAAUUGAGGUGCUUAUCAUAUUUAUAUGUGGCUAAGUUAUGCUGAUCAGAUUAAUUAUCUUUGUCACUAUUCAUUACUUUAUAUAUCCUUUAUGUGACACUUAUCCCUAUAUGAAAGAGAUAGAUAAUUGUUCUCAAUUAUACAUGCAAUGAUAGAUACUCAAUCUUAUUUCUAUUCUAUAAUCAACAUUCAUGAUUACUAUCCCUCUCCAGUAGUAAAAAUAUAAAUAACGAUACCUGGAAUACUUCCUAGUUAAAAUGCUACAUCGGUAUUAAUCUGUGCGCUUGCAGAUCCCAUUUGUUAUUUAUUUAGAAGAGCAAUGGCAUAUUUCAAUACCGCGUCUCUUAUAUCAUGCUGGGGAUGACAACUUGGCUUAAGUGGCAUGAGGGAUAAGUUUGGCAUUUUUUGGCACCGUUAUCAGAAUUAGAAACUAAGUCUACUUUUGGUAGUGACGUUAAGAAUGCCCAACAAGCAUUUUUGGCGCCGUUGCCGGGGAAGGUUGAUUACUAAUCAGGAAUGAAUAUAGAAUUUUGAGUCAUCAUUCACAUCACUAAUAUGAUUGAGCUUAUCAAUUAUCUCAUAUAGUUUUACCCCGAUAUUUUUUUUAUUUUAUCUUAUGCAGGGUAAUGUAUGAAUAGAAGACAUCUUCCAGGAAAUUUUGUUGACAAUCCCGA
RNAcentral lists this long non-coding RNA (33779 nucleotides) under Sorghum bicolor (sorghum). RNAcentral describes it as "long non-coding RNA (SBIC_LNC010254)". The record is from RNAcentral. Lineage: Eukaryota; Viridiplantae; Streptophyta; Magnoliopsida; Poales; Poaceae.